Molecule: ribosomal RNA, 87 nt
Filed under: Salimicrobium jeotgali
Lineage: Bacteria; Bacillati; Bacillota; Bacilli; Caryophanales; Bacillaceae
Source: RNAcentral
CUGUUCCCAUGCCGAACACAGAAGUUAAGUUCUUCCGCGCCGAUGGUAGUCGGGGUUACCCCCCGCAAGAGUAGGGCGCUGCCACAU